UUGAAGUCACUAUCGUUUGUGUAUUGAUCACUGGUGAUCUUUUCUUAUGUAUAUAGCUAGAUAAUAAUUUCAACGUGAGUAAUUCACCUCGACCCAAAUUAACCGGUUCUUCCUCCAACGACUGUGUGUCUUUAUAGGAAAGCAGGACUUUUAGAAGUAAAAGGUGUAUGGUGUGAGCGGAUACAGGGGGCAAGUGAACUACAAUAACUCGAUUGUUUACAUUAUUGGAUUGAACGGGAGCUCCAAUCUUCGCAACUUCAACACAAGUCUAUUGUCGUUUUCAAGACUUUGACUCAAGUCGUGUACCUCAAUAAGCAUUGACGACAAGCAGCUAGCCUGUAUUUGUGCAACAUCUCCUGCUAUUCCUUCAAAUAAAACACCGCACUGCACAGCGCUACCGCUGAAGUCCCUAGAUCACCUGGAAGAAGCAAGAUUUAUCCGUCCUCUUUUUGGUUAGAGCAAACGUAGAUAAUACGGAAUGUUUAUUACACUGCACAUUUGUACUGCCACCGCAACGGGCGUGACGUAUUGUUUAGUCGAACGCUCGCAUUAGCUUGGAGACAAUGGCCAUCCCGACCCGAAGAAGCUUCGGGCGGGCUACUGCAGGGUACGCAGGUGACGAGGUGGUCCUUGCUGCUGGAGGCAGCGUGCGGUCUUGAUUCUUGGAUAUCGACGGAGUCUCAAUCAAGAAGCCAGACGGCGGAGUCAGGCGAAGGUUGACCGAGAGUCUACUGUAUUGCCUGCUUUCUUUGACAUUCAUUUAUGUCAUAAUUCACACCCGGGUGAUUUUGUCGAGCUGCUUUUCGGCACACAGCUAUUUGCCGAAAGAAUAUGCGACCAUCACAGCUACUCCUCUACAAAUAGGGAUGGAAACACCCAAUGGGCCUUACCAUAUUUUACUGCACGCCGGUCACAGAAACGCCUACAUUUGGCACGAACGAAAUGACAAUACCUUUUGAGGUUUGGUUCGUGAUGCUAACACAGCUUCGUAUAUUAUGCAGUAAAAUUGGUGCGGUCA
Long non-coding RNA from Varroa destructor (honeybee mite), 1018 nucleotides. RefSeq lists it as uncharacterized. The record is from RefSeq and is a predicted model, not a curated record. Lineage: Eukaryota; Metazoa; Arthropoda; Arachnida; Mesostigmata; Varroidae.